AUAAUAACUUCAAGAAAGAGCAUCCUGGACUUGCAUUAAAAGAUAGAAUAUGGCCUGCUGCAAGAGCUUCCUAUGAAAGCAGAUUUGCUAGUGAAAUGGAAUCACUGAAGGAGUUCGAUGUAGAAGCAAAUGGGUUUUAAUUAAAAUUUUUUAAUUGUUUAAUUUAGUUGUUAGAAAUAUAUUUUUGCGAGUGAUCUACCAAUUCUACCCCUAAAAUUUAUAACGGGGUUGUUAGAUGGUUUGAUUCACAACUGAGAGUUGAUUUCUAGGAUGUAAAAGCUUGGGUUUUUAAAUGUGAAGGACCAAUUUGUUUCAUUUUAAAUGUGAGGGACGAAA
RNAcentral lists this long non-coding RNA (336 nucleotides) under Coffea arabica (coffee). Its description in RNAcentral is "long non-coding RNA (CARA_LNC003177)". Lineage: Eukaryota; Viridiplantae; Streptophyta; Magnoliopsida; Gentianales; Rubiaceae. The record is from RNAcentral.